AUUGAACGCUGGCGGCAUGCCUUACACAUGCAAGUCGAACGGCAGCACGGGUGCUUGCACCUGGUGGCGAGUGGCGAACGGGUGAGUAAUAUAUCGGAACGUACCUUAUUGUGGGGGAUAACGCAGCGAAAGCUGUGCUAAUGCCGCAUAAUCCCUAAGGGGGAAAGCGGGGGACCGUAAGGCCUCGCGCAAUUAGAGCGGCCGAUACCUGAUUAGCUAGUUGGUGAGGUAAAGGCUCACCAAGGCAACGAUCAGUAGCUGGUCUGAGAGGACGAUCAGCCACACUGGGACUGAGACACGGCCCAGACUCCUACGGGAGGCAGCAGUGGGGAAUUUUGGACAAUGGAGGCAACCAUGAUCCAGCCAUGCCGCGUGAGUGAAGAAGGCCUUCGGGUUGUAAAGCUCUUUUGUCAGGGAAGAAACAGCAGCUCUAACACAGUUUGCGAAUGACGGUACCUGAAGAAUAAGCACCGGCUAACUACGUGCCAGCAGCCGCGGUAA
RNAcentral lists this ribosomal RNA (501 nucleotides) under uncultured bacterium. Its description in RNAcentral is "partial 16S ribosomal RNA". It matches the Rfam family "Bacterial small subunit ribosomal RNA", at positions 30 to 523 of the family's 1533-position model. The record is from RNAcentral.